Long non-coding RNA from Halichondria panicea, 904 nucleotides. RefSeq lists it as uncharacterized. The record is from RefSeq and is a predicted model, not a curated record. NCBI's taxonomy places the organism in Eukaryota, Metazoa, Porifera, Demospongiae, Suberitida, Halichondriidae. The transcript has 3 exons.
ACCCAAUUAACACUACACUAUUUAGUUAACACCCAAUUAUCACUACUAGGUUAUCUAACCGCGGCACUUAGGGCCUGACACGAGUGGUGAUAGUGAAGUUCACCAGACUCUUGCAAAGAGGCUGGAAAUCGAGACUAGUGAUGGAAAAUGCUCCUCUACUAGCAUGUCUGUGAGACACCAGCUUUUUCCAAUUCAUGAUAACAAGGAACCAAGAACAGCUGAACAGACCAGGAAAAAGCGAAAACGUUUUCGUGAAAACAAGAAGAGAAUCUUCCACACAUGGAAAAUCGAAACAAACAAUAUCAGCAAAAUGUACAAGAUAGGAAAAGGCACUUGUAGAGAAUCAUAGGAAGGAAGAAAAUGCUCUUAAGAAGAAAAGGAGUAUUGAACAGCUGCGAAAAGUACAGCGUAAAAUUGAGAUUGAAAGUUUGAAAGUGCAUACUCGUAUGAAGCUAAAACGAAUUCAGAUGUUUUACUGCUUUCUGCCCAUGAGACUUGUAGCCAUGAGACUUGUAGCGUUGCUGACAGAUUAAAGAAAGUUGAUCAGUGUGUGCAUAUUCAAGAAUUGGAAACGGAAAGGAACGAGGCUUGUAUAGGGAUAUGGCAGAAAGAAUAAAAGCUGAGAAAAGGAUACUACACAAUAGGAUACUACACAAUGAAAUGUGCAGAAAGUUAGAGGUAGUUAGAGAACAUUAUAGGAACAAAGUUAUUGAAAGUGGAUCAAGAGGUGGGGUGAUGGUGGGGUGAUGGUACGUAUGGCAAUGGAAGCAAAAUCUGACGAUCCACCACUAUGUCAUGCACAUAAUUAUAUAAUUAUACUCCAUGAAUUUAUAUUGUGAUCGAUAAUUGUACUAUACAUAAUUAUGUACAGCAUUCGACAGAAAAUAAUUAAUGUUUCACAAUG